RNAcentral lists this ribosomal RNA (253 nucleotides) under uncultured bacterium. Its description in RNAcentral is "partial 16S ribosomal RNA". It matches the Rfam family "Bacterial small subunit ribosomal RNA", at positions 524 to 776 of the family's 1533-position model. The record is from RNAcentral.
UACGGGGGGGGCAAGCGUUGUUCGGAAUUACUGGGCGUAAAGGGCUCGUAGGUGGCCAACUAAGUCAGACGUGAAAUCCCUCGGCUUAACCGGGGAACGGCGUCUGAUACUGGAUGGCUUGAGUUCGGGAGAGGGAUGCGGAAUUCCAGGUGUAGCGGUGAAAUGCGUAGAUAUCUGGAGGAAUACCGGUGGCGAAGGCGGCAUCCUGGACCAUAACUGACGCUGAGGCGCGAAAGCUAGGGGAGCAAACGGG